UCCUUGGUGGUCCAGUGGUUAGAACUUGGCGCUUUCACUGCUAUGGCCUGGGUUUGAUCCCUGGUCAGGAAA
RNAcentral lists this transfer RNA (72 nucleotides) under Ovis aries (sheep). It matches the Rfam family "tRNA". From Rfam's summary of the family: Transfer RNA (tRNA) molecules are approximately 80 nucleotides in length. Their secondary structure includes four short double-helical elements and three loops (D, anti-codon, and T loops). Further hydrogen bonds mediate the characteristic L-shaped molecular structure. tRNAs have two regions of fundamental functional importance: the anti-codon, which is responsible for specific mRNA codon recognition, and the 3' end, to which the tRNAs corresponding amino acid is attached (by aminoacyl-tRNA synthetases). tRNAs cope with the degeneracy of the genetic code in two manners: having more than one tRNA (with a specific anti-codon) for a particular amino acid; and 'wobble' base-pairing, i.e. permitting non-standard base-pairing at the 3rd anti-codon position. The record is from Rfam by way of RNAcentral. Lineage: Eukaryota; Metazoa; Chordata; Mammalia; Artiodactyla; Bovidae.